CGCGAAAGUUUCCUUCAGGGAGGCGAGUAGAGUGGCGCACGGGUGAGUAACACGUAGGUAAUCUACCUUUGGAUGGGGAAUAACAACCGGAAACGGUUGCUAAUACCGCAUAAUGCAGCGGCACCUAAUGGUGACAGUUGUUAAAGCGGGGGAUCGAAAGACCUCGCGUCUGAAGAGGAGCCUGCGGCGGAUUAGCUAGUUGGUAAGGUAAUGGCUUACCAAGGCGAUGAUCCGUAACCGGCCUGAGAGGGCGGUCGGUCACACUGACACUGACAUACGGGUCAGACUCCUACGGGAGGCAGCAGUCGGGAAUUUUGGGCAAUGGGCGAAAGCCUGACCCAGCAACGCCGCGUGAAGGAUGAAAUCCCUCGGGAUGUAAACUUCGCAAGAACAGGAAGAAUAAGUAAGGGUUAAUAUCUCUUACGAUGACGGUACUGUUUGUAAGCUCCGGCUAACUCCGUGCCAGCAGCCGCGGUAAUACGUAGGCAGCAAGCGUUGUUCGGAGUUACUGGGCGUAAAGAGUGCGUAGGCGGUCCUAUAAGUUCCGUGUGAAAUCUCCCGGCUCAACUGGGAGGGUGCGCGGAAGACUGUAGGGCUUGAGUGUGGGAGAGGUAAGCGGAAUUCCUGGUGUAGCGGUGAAAUGCGUAGAUAUCAGGAGGAACACCUGUGGUGUAGACAGCUUACUGGACCAUAACUGACGCUGAGGCACGAAAGCGUGGGUAGC
RNAcentral lists this ribosomal RNA (724 nucleotides) under uncultured bacterium. RNAcentral describes it as "bacterial SSU rRNA". It matches the Rfam family "Bacterial small subunit ribosomal RNA", at positions 65 to 769 of the family's 1533-position model. The record is from RNAcentral.